CGGGGCGUGGCUCAGUCUGGCUAGAGCGCUUGGUUCGGGACCAAGAGGUCGGAGGUUCGAAUCCUCUCGCCCCGACCA
This 78-nucleotide transfer RNA is filed under the name Lentisphaerota bacterium. Its description in RNAcentral is "Lentisphaerae bacterium (anaerobic digester metagenome) tRNA-Pro". It matches the Rfam family "tRNA". Rfam says of the family: Transfer RNA (tRNA) molecules are approximately 80 nucleotides in length. Lineage: Bacteria; Pseudomonadati; Lentisphaerota. The record is from RNAcentral.